This 481-nucleotide ribosomal RNA is filed under the name uncultured eukaryote. Its description in RNAcentral is "bacterial SSU rRNA". It matches the Rfam family "Eukaryotic small subunit ribosomal RNA", at positions 334 to 813 of the family's 1831-position model. The record is from RNAcentral.
UAGAGGCCCGCCGCGGUAACGACGGGUAACGGGGAAUCAGGGUUCGAUUCCGGAGAGGGAGCCCGAGAAACGGCUACCACUUCCAAGGAAGGCAGCAGGCGCGCAACUUACCCUAAUCUCGAUUCGAGGAGGUAGUGACAAGAAAUACCGAUGCGGGACCCUACGGGUGCCGCGUUCGGAAUGAGUACGAUUCGAACCACCUAACGAGGAACGAUCGGAGGGCAAGUCUGGUGCCAGCAGCCGCGGUAAUUCCAGCUCCAAUAGCGUACGUUAAAGUUGCUGCAGUUAAAAAGCUCGUAGUUGAACGUUCGGGUUCCGCGGGACGGGGCCGCCCCGCGAGGGACGGCGCCGCCCCGGGGCGUCCGUGAUAUCUCAUCUCGCCGCCCGUCGCGAGGCGGACGGAGGGAUGGAUGAGGUUACCUGGAAAAAAAUCGGGGCGAUCUAGGCGGGCGAACCUCGCCAACGAACGAUCGGACAUGGG